RNAcentral lists this ribosomal RNA (416 nucleotides) under Deltaproteobacteria bacterium. RNAcentral describes it as "partial 23S ribosomal RNA". It matches the Rfam family "Bacterial large subunit ribosomal RNA", at positions 2519 to 2925 of the family's 2925-position model. The record is from RNAcentral. Lineage: Bacteria; Pseudomonadati; Myxococcota; Myxococcia.
UGGCACCUCGAUGUCGGCUCAUCGCAUCCUGGGGCUGGAGAAGGUCCCAAGGGUUUGGCUGUUCGCCAAUUAAAGCGGUACGUGAGCUGGGUUUAGAACGUCGUGAGACAGUUCGGUCCCUAUCUGUGGUGGGCGUAGGAUAUUUGAGAGGGGCUGUCCCUAGUACGAGAGGACCGGGAUGGACGAACCUCUAGUGUACCAGUUGUUCCGCCAGGAGCAUCGCUGGGUAGCUACGUUCGGAAUGGAUAACCGCUGAAAGCAUCUAAGCGGGAAACCAGCCUCGAGAAUAGAUAUCCCUCUUCGGUGAGAGCCGAGGACUAAAGGCCCCUGGUAGACUACCAGGUUGAUAGGCCAGUAGUGUAAGUGUGGCAACACAUUUAGCUUACUGGUACUAAUUGGCCGUGCGGCUUGGCCAU